AACGAACGCUGGCGGCGUGGAUAAGACAUGCAAGUCGAACGGAACUUUCAGCUGUAGCAAUACAGUUGAAAGUUUAGUGGCGAACGGGUGCGUAACACGUGGGCAAUCUGCCGAGAAGUGGGGGAUAGCUCGCCGAAAGGCGAAUUAAUACCGCAUGUGAUCAGGAAAGACAUCUUUCCAACAUUAAAGCCGGGGUUAAACCUGGCGCUUCUUGAUGAGCCCGCGGCCUACAGCUAGUUGGUGAGGUAACGGCUCACCAAGGCUUUGACGGGUAGCUGGUCUGAGAGGACGACCAGUCACACUGGAACUGAGACACGGUCCAGACACCUACGGGUGGCAGCAGUCGAGAAUUUUUCUCAAUGGGGAAACCCUGAAGGAGCGACGCCGCGUGGAGGAUGAAGGUCUUCGGGUUGUAAACUCCUGUCAUUUGGGAACAAGGUGC
Molecule: ribosomal RNA, 442 nt
Filed under: uncultured bacterium
Lineage: Bacteria
Description: bacterial SSU rRNA
Rfam family: Bacterial small subunit ribosomal RNA
Source: RNAcentral